This 309-nucleotide long non-coding RNA is filed under the name Carica papaya (papaya). RNAcentral's name for it is "long non-coding RNA (CPAP_LNC013255)". Lineage: Eukaryota; Viridiplantae; Streptophyta; Magnoliopsida; Brassicales; Caricaceae. The record is from RNAcentral.
UAGGCCAUCAAUUCGUGUCUUCCUUUUCUUUUGUAAGAAUGACACGAGAGAGACCUUCUAUAGAGCAUACCAAAAGACCCGAGGCCCAGGAUCAUUUAAUGAGGCCUGAGUUUACUGAACUCUUCCGAGCUAUCUAAGGAUUGAACACAACUGUAGGACAAAACCAAGCCAACCCUUGUCAACAUCCUGCCCCAGAAUACUGACCAGUCGAAACGUCUAUCUCUCACAACAUAGUGGAGUUUAGGAAGCUUAACCCACCGCACUUCAAAGGUGGCCUUGACCCUUUAGUAGCUAAAGCUUAGAUCCUAC